This 492-nucleotide ribosomal RNA is filed under the name uncultured bacterium. Its description in RNAcentral is "partial 16S ribosomal RNA". It matches the Rfam family "Bacterial small subunit ribosomal RNA", at positions 29 to 507 of the family's 1533-position model. The record is from RNAcentral.
AGUGAACGCUGGCGGUAGGCCUAACACAUGCAAGUCGAACGGCAGCACAGUAAGAGCUUGCUCUUACGGGUGGCGAGUGGCGGACGGGUGAGGAAUACAUCGGAAUCUACUUUUUCGUGGGGGAUAACGUAGGGAAACUUACGCUAAUACCGCAUACGACCUACGGGUGAAAGCAGGGGAUCUUCGGACCUUGCGCGAUUGAAUGAGCCGAUGUCGGAUUAGCUAGUUGGCGGGGUAAAGGCCCACCAAGGCGACGAUCCGUAGCUGGACUGAGAGGAUGAUCAGCCACACUGGAACUGAGACCAGGUCCAGACUCCUACGGGAGGCAGCAGUGGGGAAUAUUGGACAAUGGGCGCAAGCCUGAUCCAGCCAUACCGCGUGGGUGAAGAAGGCCUUCGGGUUGUAAAGCCCUUUUGUUGGGAAAGAAAAGCAGCAGGUUAAUACCCCGCUGUUCUGACGGUACCCAAAGAAUAAGCACCGGCUAACUUCGUG